Molecule: long non-coding RNA, 1032 nt
Organism: Populus euphratica (Euphrates poplar)
Lineage: Eukaryota; Viridiplantae; Streptophyta; Magnoliopsida; Malpighiales; Salicaceae
Exons: 3
Source: RefSeq, a predicted model, not a curated record
ACCAUGGCUAUCGUCAUUGCUGGCAUUGCGAGGGAUGCAAAUGGCCUAAAGAUAAGAACAAGAGAAGAGGAGAGGAGAUAUGGAGGAGGAGGAGAAUAGCUAGACUUGUUGAGCUCCAUAACCUUGAAUCUCUUGACAGAGAGAAGAAAUGGAGAGACAAGAUUAAAUAAAAGUGAUUGGACAAUGGGACAUAUCAAGUAUUUAUGGGAUCUCUAGGGGGGUGAAAAGGUUGAUCCCAAAAAAUAGGAUUGCGGGCAGAUUUUGCAAAUACUCUAAACUACUCUGGACUGUCGGUUUUGCAUCUAUGUUCUGGAAAUCAACACAUCAACGAUGGCCAGCUUAAUUGGUUUUCCAGGAAUAGUUUCAUAGAGGGCAUAGCGUCAAGGAUAACAACAGGGAGCUUCAUCCUUCUUUUUCCUUAUUUCAACCUGAGGAAAAAAGAUUGCCUGCUCUUCCUUGCGGUUUUCCAGCCAGGCCAGAAAUUCGCGUUCUAACACGAUGUCCAGCUCUUCCUUGUUCUAUCCAGGCAGUAGCCAGAAAUUGGCGUUCCAAUUCAUUUUCCAUUAGAACCAAAUUCAUAAACGUUGCAGCUAUCAUCCACUUGGUCUGUGGUUGGACUUCAGACAACAGUUGCAGGGAAGCAGGUGGCCUCAACCACACGCAGGUCGCCUCAUAACAAAUUGAUGAGAUGAUAAAUACAACUACGAAGGCGGCGUAGGCUAAAAAGAAAAGGGGGUGGAAUAAUCUACGACCUGUCUCAGACUAGUGCAAUUUAUGAGAUCAUCAGUCAUCGCAUCAAGAAUUUCCAGGUUGGUUUUUCCAAUAGUAGUUUCAUAAGUGCAGAGCAGCUAAGGAUGACAGCAAAGCUUUUCUUAUGUUUUCCUUACCUCUAAAUGAUGUCUUGUUCUUCCUUUGCUGUGAACAAGAUAGCCAGAAAUUGGCUUCCGAGUUUUUUGCCACGGCCAAAUUCACAAACGUCGGCUAUCCCCACUUGGUUUGUGGUGGUUUCAGGUAACAAGAUACUGAUACAAU